This is a long non-coding RNA of Pyrus x bretschneideri (Chinese white pear), 434 nucleotides long. RefSeq lists it as uncharacterized. The record is from RefSeq and is a predicted model, not a curated record. The transcript is spliced from 3 exons. NCBI's taxonomy places the organism in Eukaryota, Viridiplantae, Streptophyta, Magnoliopsida, Rosales, Rosaceae.
CUGACCUCUAGUUAUGUGAUUUCCUUAUUUUUAGAAAGUGGUCGACUAUACAAAUCGUUCCACCAAGCUGCUGGACCAGAGAAAUACUGAUGCAGCUCUCACUGCUUUAGGUCUAGUUUCUGAGGCCUUGUCAGUUAGCUCUUACUCAGAAACAUUACUUGAAAUGAAGGCAGAGGCUCUGUGUUUGUUGCAGAGGUAUGAAGAGGCAAUUCGUCUGUGUGAACAGAGUAUGGCAUUUGCUGAUAGUAAUUUUUCCGGAUAUGAAAUUUAUCAAGUUAAGUUGUGGAGGUGGUUCUUCAUAUCCAAGUCCUACUUUCACUAGGGAAGGCUUGAGGCAGCUCUUGAUUUACUCGAUAAACUCGAGAAAGUGGGACAAAAGAGAUGUUCAAGUAAGAAACUGGAAUCAUCUAUUGAAGGAAAGAAUCACAACUGAU